RNAcentral lists this ribosomal RNA (860 nucleotides) under Aspergillus terreus. RNAcentral's name for it is "partial large subunit ribosomal RNA". It matches the Rfam family "Eukaryotic large subunit ribosomal RNA", at positions 81 to 955 of the family's 3401-position model. Lineage: Eukaryota; Fungi; Ascomycota; Eurotiomycetes; Eurotiales; Aspergillaceae. The record is from RNAcentral.
CAGUAACGGCGAGUGAAGCGGCAAGAGCUCAAAUUUGAAAGCUGGCUCCUUCGGGGUCCGCAUUGUAAUUUGCAGAGGAUGCUUCGGGUGCAGCCCCCGUCUAAGUGCCCUGGAACGGGCCGUCAUAGAGGGUGAGAAUCCCGUAUGGGGCGGGGUGUCUGCGUCCGUGUGAAGCUCCCUUCGACGAGUCGAGUUGUUUGGGAAUGCAGCUCUAAAUGGGUGGUAAAUUUCAUCUAAAGCUAAAUACUGGCCGGAGACCGAUAGCGCACAAGUAGAGUGAUCGAAAGAUGAAAAGCACUUUGAAAAGAGAGUUAAACAGCACGUGAAAUUGUUGAAAGGGAAGCGCUUGCAACCAGACUCGCUCGCGGGGUUCAGCCGGGCUUCGGCCCGGUGUACUUCCCCGCGGGCGGGCCAGCGUCGGUUUGGGCGGCCGGUCAAAGGCCUCCGGAAUGUAGCGCCCUUCGGGGCGCCUUAUAGCCGGGGGUGCAAUGCGGCCAGCCUGGACCGAGGAACGCGCUUCGGCACGGACGCUGGCAUAAUGGUUGUAAACGACCCGUCUUGAAACACGGACCAAGGAGUCUAACAUCUACGCGAGUGUUCGGGUGUCAAACCCGUACGCGCAGUGAAAGCGAACGGAGGUGGGAGCCCCCUCGCGGGGCGCACCAUCGACCGAUCCUGAUGUCUUCGGAUGGAUUUGAGUACGAGCGUAGCUGUGGGGACCCGAAAGAUGGUGAACUAUGCCUGAAUAGGGCGAAGCCAGAGGAAACUCUGGUGGAGGCUCGCAGCGGUUCUGACGUGCAAAUCGAUCGUCAAAUUUGGGUAUAGGGGCGAAAGACUAAUCGAACCAUCUGGUAGCUGGU